CUACGUUAAAGAGGACCAGGAGGACCCAGAGCCCCCCUACGUUAAAGAAGACCCAGAGCCCCCCUACGUUAAAGAGGACCCAGAGCCCCCCCCACGUUAAAGAGGACCAGGAGGACCCAGCGGUGGAAUCUCACGAGCAGAGCAAGAAGCACAGAGACUAGCGAAGGCCGCCAGCAGCCCGCGGGGCUAGCUGCUGCUCCGCCGCCAGCAACGACGUCAACGCUACAACGCUGGAGGUCACCGGAGGAAAUCCAGCGCCGUGCAACAAAGAGCUCAUCACCGAAGUCCAACAGGCCGGCGCGUUCUUCAUUCUGUUCCACGAGACUCUGGACCAGACCACCGCGAGCAGACAGCUGGACUUCAUGUGCGUUAUUGGUGAAAUGACCACGUCCCGUCAGGAUCCUAUGGAGCUCAUGGGCCAUGACACCACAGGACCUACUGCAGCACCUCAAAGAGAAUGGACCAAAUGUCAACUGGAAGUUUUUAUAUUAAUACAGUUUGAAAAGGAUUGUUUUCCUAGUAUAUUCACAAAAGCUCAGGAGUAGACAUGAACCUGUGCACAAACAUAGAGACAUGAGAACUCACUCACUCACACACACAUUCUAUUAUGUAAAUGAAUUAGCAUUUUAAAAGCAGCUGGAAUUGUUAUUUGUUAUUUUAUAGAUUAUUUUUUUCAAAAGGAACUAUGUUGCACGUAUUUUAAAAAUAUAUUUACUUAAUUUUAUAGACAUUUGUUCAUGGGACUUAAAUGUUCUGAAAAUGUAUUAAUAAAUAUAAUUUACAACAGCAAUGACAUUUGUGUUAUCCUUUUGCAUUACACCAUCCUGUUAAUUUUGAACAGACAUCAGUGUGUUUACUUUGAAUUAAUUAAUUUAGAUUCAUGUAUAUUUCCAUCGUAAGUUAGGUCUUAAAUUUUAUUUAGACGUGGUCUUAAAAAGUCUUAAAUUUCACUGGUUUAUUCCUGUAGACACCCUGUGGCGGUGCAGUACCACAAAGGCUGUUAUAAUCAGUACACCAGGUUUUUGAUGAGGCCUGAAAAACCAGAGAAAGACCAGAUUGAGCCCACGUUUGAUGUCAGCUAUAAGAUAUUCUGUGAGAGGAUCAUUGGCCAAAGGCUGCUUGUCAACCAAGAGGUGCUGAGGAUGGGCUGAGGAAGGCCUUCAUUGAACUGGGGAAAGCAAAUGAAGGUCUUGAUGCUUCAAACUACAGGGAACUGCAAUGCAUUUUCCCCUCACGUCUUAUUAUUUGUCAUGUGCAAGUCCAGCUUUACACAACAUGUGUGUGACAGGCCUGGGAAACUGUUUUUAAUUCUUGCUGUUUGCACAAACAUGUACCAGUUGGUAACGAGGAGAAGUGUGUGUGCGUGAUGUUGUGUGCCUUUCUUGGGCAUCUUUGGUGUUACAUGUGCUGUAUGGCAGAUAGGUUCUAGCCUGUAAUGUCUUGUACCACCUGCACCACUCUCUGCUUUUCAUGAUACUCCUGUGACUUAAUUGUCACUGUUUUGUUGUGUUGCAGACAGGAUAUGUUGAAGAAGAGGCUGGCUCGUGAUUUCCCCCAGCUGGUGUUUCACAUCCCCACCAAGCGCAACAUCUGCCAGCUGGUUUUUGCAGAGACCCUGUCAACCGGGACACUCGCGUGACUCCACAAGUGCCUUUUAUGGCAAAGGGAAAAAAAGACAUUUUCUGUUGCAUGUGAGAAAGGUGAGUACCUAAAGGCUUUUAAAAGUUUAGGUACUCACUUUAACUUGGAGCAGUCAACAUUUGCACUUCUUUGCCAGUAUGUGUGCCACUUAUAUGAUCAGCCAGCUGCCGAUAAUGUAAAUGAAGCUAGGUACAAGGCUUUCUGUUUGGCAUCGUCAGCCUUGCCAGAAAUAUGCAUUCCCCCAACUACUGAUGCCCUCCAACAGCACUGCAAACGGGCAAACUACCAGGCUGCAAUAAUGAGGUCCUGUCGCAAACAAAAUGUGCUCCAUCACCUGCUGGAUAUGGUUGGCAAAGAGAGGAUGGGACCUUGCACAUCACCUGGAUGACCAGACAUCCGGCCCCUGACAGUGUUUUGCAUGUCAUACACUGCAGCUGCAAAGGUGCCUGUGAGACAGGAAGAUGUUCCCGUUUCUCUGCAGGAUUGUGUUGCACAGACUUCUGUCGUUGCUGUAAUUGUGCCAACACCAAAGACACCGAGCAACUGGAAGACAACUGUCCUGACACUGACUGUGAGGACUGAGCGUCCUUAAUGUUAUUUCUUUUGUAGUUUUGUACAGUUUUAUAUAUCAGUCAUAUUUUUCAUAAAGAUUGUUUCUAUUGUUCGUCAGUGUUGUUUUCAUUUGUGGAAGAAUUAAUGAAUGAAUAAAUGGUCAUUGGUGUAAGUACAA
Molecule: long non-coding RNA, 2371 nt
Organism: Pseudoliparis swirei
Lineage: Eukaryota; Metazoa; Chordata; Actinopteri; Perciformes; Liparidae
Exons: 3
Source: RefSeq, a predicted model, not a curated record